This 448-nucleotide ribosomal RNA is filed under the name Littorina obtusata. RNAcentral describes it as "partial 16S ribosomal RNA". Lineage: Eukaryota; Metazoa; Mollusca; Gastropoda; Littorinimorpha; Littorinidae. The record is from RNAcentral.
AACAGACCAACCCUUGAAGGCUUCUGCACCUGUCAGGAUAUUCUAGUCCAACAUCGAGGUCACAAACCUUUUUUUCGAUGGGAACUCUCAAAAAAGAUUAUGCUGUUAUCCCUACGGUAACUAAUUCUUUUAAUCGUAAUAAAUACGGAUCUAGAUUUAGAUAUUUUUAUAAAUAAAAGAAGCUUUAAUUGUUCCUUAGUCGCCCCAACCAAAAUUUUUCAUGAAAAGAAAUGUAUAAUACUUUCUUUAUAUCAUAAAUGACUUUUAAGCUCGAUAGGGUCUUCUUGUCUUUUAAUUCUAUCUAAGUUUCUUCACUUAGAAAAUAAAUUCCAGGGAUUUCUAUAGAGACAGGGUCGCCCUUGUCAAACCUUUCAUACUAGCCCUCAAUUAUAGGGCAAAUGAUUAUGCUACCUUUGCACGGUCAGAGUACCGCGGCCGUUAAAUACUA